GAUGAAGAACGCAGCGAAAUGCGAUAAGUAAUGUGAAUUGCAGAAUUCAGUGAAUCAUCGAAUCUUUGAACGCACCUUGCGCUCCUUGGUAUUCCGAGGAGCAUGCCUGUUUGAGUGUCAUUAAAUUCUCAACCUCACCAGUUUUGUCAUGAGACUUUGUA
Molecule: ribosomal RNA, 161 nt
Filed under: Ephemerocybe bisporigera
Lineage: Eukaryota; Fungi; Basidiomycota; Agaricomycetes; Agaricales; Psathyrellaceae
Description: Coprinellus bisporiger 5.8S ribosomal RNA
Rfam family: 5.8S ribosomal RNA (bases 1-120)
About the family: 5.8S ribosomal RNA (5.8S rRNA) is a component of the large subunit of the eukaryotic ribosome.
Source: RNAcentral